GAAGAGUUUGAUCAUGGCUCAGAUUGAACGCUGGCGGCAGGCCUAACACAUGCAAGUCGAACGGUAACAGGAAGCAGCUUGCUGCUUUGCUGACGAGUGGCGGACGGGUGAGUAAUGUCUGGGAAACUGCCUGAUGGAGGGGGAUAACUACUGGAAACGGUGGCUAAUACCGCAUAACGUCGCAAGACCAAAGAGGGGGACCUUCGGGCCUCUUGCCAUCAGAUGUGCCCAGAUGGGAUUAGCUUGUUGGUGAGGUAACGGCUCACCAAGGCGACGAUCCCUAGCUGGUCUGAGAGGAUGACCAGCCACACUGGAACUGAGACACGGUCCAGACUCCUACGGGAGGCAGCAGUGGGGAAUAUUGCACAAUGGGCGCAAGCCUGAUGCAGCCAUGCCGCGUGUAUGAAGAAGGCCUUCGGGUUGUAAAGUACUUUCAGCGGGGAGGAAGGUGUUGUGGUUAAUAACCGCAGCAAUUGACGUUACCCGCAGAAGAAGCACCGGCUAACUCCGUGCCAGCAGCCGCGGUAAUACGGAGGGUGCAAGCGUUAAUCGGAAUUACUGGGCGUAAAGCGCACGCAGGCGGUCUGUCAAGUCGGAUGUGAAAUCCCCGGGCUCAACCUGGGAACUGCAUUCGAAACUGGCAGGCUUGAGUCUUGUAGAGGGGGGUAGAAUUCCAGGUGUAGCGGUGAAAUGCGUAGAGAUCUGGAGGAAUACCGGUGGCGAAGGCGGCCCCCUGGACAAAGACUGACGCUCAGGUGCGAAAGCGUGGGGAGCAAACAGGAUUAGAUACCCUGGUAGUCCACGCCGUAAACGAUGUCUACUUGGAGGUUGUGCCCUUGAGGCGUGGCUUCCGGAGCUAACGCGUUAAGUAGACCGCCUGGGGAGUACGGCCGCAAGGUUAAAACUCAAAUGAAUUGACGGGGGCCCGCACAAGCGGUGGAGCAUGUGGUUUAAUUCGAUGCAACGCGAAGAACCUUACCUGGUCUUGACAUCCACAGAAGAAUCCAGAGAUGGAUUUGUGCCUUCGGGAACUGUGAGACAGGUGCUGCAUGGCUGUCGUCAGCUCGUGUUGUGAAAUGUUGGGUUAAGUCCCGCAACGAGCGCAACCCUUAUCCUUUGUUGCCAGCGGUCCGGCCGGGAACUCAAAGGAGACUGCCAGUGAUAAACUGGAGGAAGGUGGGGAUGACGUCAAGUCAUCAUGGCCCUUACGACCAGGGCUACACACGUGCUACAAUGGCGCAUACAAAGAGAAGCGACCUCGCGAGAGCAAGCGGACCUCAUAAAGUGCGUCGUAGUCCGGAUUGGAGUCUGCAACUCGACUCCAUGAAGUCGGAAUCGCUAGUAAUCGUGGAUCAGAAUGCCACGGUGAAUACGUUCCCGGGCCUUGUACACACCGCCCGUCACACCAUGGGAGUGGGUUGCAAAAGAAGUAGGUAGCUUAACCUUCGGGAGGGCGCUUACCACUUUGUGAUUCAUGACUGGGGUGAAGUCGUAACAAGGUAACCGUAGGGGAACCUGCGGUUGGAUCACCUCCUUACCU
Molecule: ribosomal RNA, 1540 nt
Filed under: Salmonella enterica subsp. enterica serovar Infantis
Lineage: Bacteria; Pseudomonadati; Pseudomonadota; Gammaproteobacteria; Enterobacterales; Enterobacteriaceae
Description: bacterial SSU rRNA
Rfam family: Bacterial small subunit ribosomal RNA
Source: RNAcentral